UACGGGGGGGGCAAGCGUUGUUCGGAAUUACUGGGCGUAAAGGGUUCGUAGGUGGCUUGCUAAGUCAGACGUGAAAUCCCUCAGCUUAACUGGGGAACUGCGUCUGAGACUGGCAAGCUUGAGUGCAGGAGAGGAACGCGGAAUUCCAGGUGUAGCGGUGAAAUGCGUAGAUAUCGAGAGGAACACCUGCGGCGAAGGCGGGUUGCUGGGCCGACACUGACGCUGAUGCGCGAAAGCCAGGGGAGCGAACGGG
Molecule: ribosomal RNA, 253 nt
Filed under: uncultured bacterium
Lineage: Bacteria
Description: partial 16S ribosomal RNA
Rfam family: Bacterial small subunit ribosomal RNA
Source: RNAcentral